Molecule: long non-coding RNA, 2136 nt
Filed under: Cricetulus griseus (Chinese hamster)
Lineage: Eukaryota; Metazoa; Chordata; Mammalia; Rodentia; Cricetidae
Description: lncRNA (ENSCGRG00015036421.1)
Source: RNAcentral
CAACUCCAAAAGGCUGGGCGAAUAUCCACAAAUGGGUUCAGCAUAUAACUGGGGAGAUUUCUGGUGGUUAGUUAAAAGCCAGCAUUCUUCAGGAACUUGUGAAACUGGUUCCCUGAUGGGGAAUGUCCUUCUGAGUAUAUGUUUAUCUUAUUGGUUGUUGAAUAAAGUACUGUUGGCCAAUGAAGAAGCAGGUUAGGUGGGACUAGGGUCAAGCAGGUUUCUGGGAAAUGUAGUAAAAGGAAGUCUUGUGAUACAGGCAGGAAGUGACAUAGCAGGCAGACUCAUAUAUAAGAAAGGGCAAGAAGGAAGUCGUUCUUUUUCUCUCUUCCUCCUGCUCUCUGCUCUGCAGUCACCACGUUUCUUCCAGACAGGCCUGUGCACACUCCCUCUCCCUACCCUUUACUAAUAAAACUCUUUUUGUUUUGUUUUUUUUUUCGAGACAGGGCUUCUCUGUGGCUUUGGAGGCUGUCCUGGACUAGCUCUUGUAGACCAGGCUGGUCUCAAACUCACAGAGAUCCUCUGCCUCUGCCUCCCGAGUACUGGGGUUAAAGGUGUGUGCCACCCUGCCCCACCCCCCCUCCCGCCACUAAUAAAACUCUUCAGUGGGUUUUGUUGUGUAUCUUGUGGUCUGUUCUCGAGCACCGUACAUAGCAACUUGCUAUCCCCUUUGAUGUUUCCCAUCCCAGUUCACAGGACCCUCUUCCCCCAGAUAGCCAUUCUCUUUAUAAUUCUCGAAAAUAUCCUCCCUCUCACCUUUCUCUGCUUUCUCCGAGAGACAGCCUUGGCUAUUUGGAAUACACUUUUUCUUUUCUACCCACAGGGCAGCCAGUUUGGUCUCUAUCACGUAGAUGCUGGGGAUCAAACUCAGCUGUUAGGCUUGGUGACGAGCAAACACCUUUGCCCACUCUGAAGCUGGUCUUGAACUUCUGGACUCAAAGAGAUCAUCCUACCUCAGCUUUGCUGUCAGUUUAUAAUAACAGACAGACUGCCAGAUCCUGACAGUGACCCAAAGACUCCAAAGAAGAUUAUGAGGCACCUCAGUUCCUGCACCUGGACCAGUGAGCAAGAUGCUCAGAUGUGAUACCUGCUGUCUGCCAGGACCUGGCCAAGACUGUGGACAAAGCUGCUGGACACUGGAAAAUUGAUUGUACCCCUUUGCCUAGACAAAACAAGGUUUCUGCUUCUGGAAGACACAUCUGAGUAUCAGUUGCUGACCACAGGCUGUUCCUAAGUAGAUUUCGAACCCUGGACUUGCUGUGGAUGUAAACCAGUCCAGCUGAUAUGGACACCCCCUGUCUCUGCAACAGAAUCUGCCAACCAGAAGCUCCUGAUGGAUUCCCCAUUGCCUAAAUUCCUUUUUUUGCUUUUGACUAACCUUUCAACCUUCUUGGGUCCCUAACUUCGUCCCAGGUCAGCAGGAAGUAGCAUGGGAAAGAAUAUGUCGUCCAUUUUCCCUGGUUAAAAUGCUAAGUCAGAAGGAACUCCCUUGCAUGGGGAUGCCAAUAUCUCUCACUUCCUGAUGAGGAUGAGGGAGAGACAGCAAUUCCAUGAUUGGAAUUUCCAAAAAAGAAAAUGGGGGAAUGAAGGGACCAGCUCCCCAUUUCAGCAGCCAUAACAGCUGGACACGUGCUUUUCUGACCUUGCCUUGGUCACUAGAAGUUAGGUGCCUGCCUCGUGGCAAGGAACCAAUCAGAAGUUAGCUGGUGGUGCUAUGAUUUACGGCUCUGGGUGUGCUUUAUGGACAAGCGCACAGCAAUGACGCACAGAGCAUAGCAGCCACCCUGGGAGGGCCUAUGGGCCAUAACAACCAGUUGACCAAUCAACACAGGGCAAGCCCUCCAAGCCUGGAGGCACACCAAUCGUGAGGCUGUGCGUACCCCUAGACACUCCCCUUACGCUGCCCUAUAAGAUCUCUAUACAGCCAGUUCGAGCUGUCUUUGCUAGCCAUCUGCUAUGGCGGGUGGGUGAAAGACCAGAGCUAACAUGGGUUUAGCUUGUUAAACAACAAUAAAGCCUCAUGCAGUUUGCAUCAAGCUUUUGACUCAGCCUGGUGAUUGGGGUGGCCGAGGUCCUGGGCUAAGAUCCUGGAAGCCUGAGCUUUCCCGGGGUCUUACAGUGUGUGCUACUUGGCUUGGC